UGCCAGCAGCCGCGGUAACACGGGGGGCGCAAGCGUUAUUCGGAAUUACUGGGCGUAAAGCGCACGUAGGCGGUUUGGUAAGUUGGAAGUGAAAUCCCGGGGCUCAACCCCGGAACUGCUUUCAAAACUGCUAAACUAGAGUAUGGUAGGGGAUAGUGGAAUUCCUAGUGUAGAGGUGAAAUUCGUAGAUAUUAGGAGGAACACCAGUGGCGAAGGCGGCUUUCUGGACCGAUACUGACGCUGAGGUGCGAAGGCGUGGGGAGCGAACAGGAUUAGAUA
RNAcentral lists this ribosomal RNA (279 nucleotides) under uncultured bacterium. Its description in RNAcentral is "partial 16S ribosomal RNA". It matches the Rfam family "Bacterial small subunit ribosomal RNA", at positions 506 to 784 of the family's 1533-position model. The record is from RNAcentral.